This 465-nucleotide ribosomal RNA is filed under the name Vreelandella stevensii. RNAcentral describes it as "partial 16S ribosomal RNA". It matches the Rfam family "Bacterial small subunit ribosomal RNA", at positions 338 to 795 of the family's 1533-position model. Lineage: Bacteria; Pseudomonadati; Pseudomonadota; Gammaproteobacteria; Oceanospirillales; Halomonadaceae. The record is from RNAcentral.
CCUACGGGUGGCAGCAGUGGGGAAUAUUGGACAAUGGGGGCAACCCUGAUCCAGCCAUGCCGCGUGUGUGAAGAAGGCCCUCGGGUUGUAAAGCACUUUCAGUGAGGAAGAACGCCUGGUGGUUAAUACCCAUCAGGAAAGACAUCACUCACAGAAGAAGCACCGGCUAACUCCGUGCCAGCAGCCGCGGUAAUACGGAGGGUGCGAGCGUUAAUCGGAAUUACUGGGCGUAAAGCGCGCGUAGGUGGCUUGAUAAGCCGGUUGUGAAAGCCCCGGGCUCAACCUGGGAGCGGCAUCCGGAACUGUCAAGCUAGAGUGCAGGAGAGGAAGGUAGAAUUCCCGGUGUAGCGGUGAAAUGCGUAGAGAUCGGGAGGAAUACCAGUGGCGAAGGCGGCCUUCUGGACUGACACUGACACUGAGGUGCGAAAGCGUGGGUAGCAAACAGGAUUAGAUACCCCUGUAGUC